Molecule: long non-coding RNA, 32116 nt
Filed under: Fragaria vesca (wild strawberry)
Lineage: Eukaryota; Viridiplantae; Streptophyta; Magnoliopsida; Rosales; Rosaceae
Description: long non-coding RNA (FVES_LNC002379)
Source: RNAcentral
UAUAUAUUAAGGGAAAUAAGUUUCAAUAUUGAAUACGUUGAUAAUUGACUUAGCGGUCAAUUAAAGAUUGUAUCUAACUUUAAAUAGUAGGGUUACACUCUAAAUGUAGCUCCUACAAGUCUAGAACGUACAAAAACAUGGAUCCCAAAAACAUAUAUGUUUAAAGUUUGAAUAACCAUAAAUGAAACCGCUCACUUAGAUUCAUAAAGAAAUGGUGACUAUAUAUAUAUUGCAUUGUGGAGGUAUUGAGAUUUUUUUUAUUUUUUAUUUUUUUUAUUUUUUUUAUCACAGUGUAAACAAACUUUCAUAUUCAUAAACGGAAGCUUAAAAACACAAAAACUUGUUUUGGAUCAACAUAACUGAAACUUAAAAUACAACAAACAAAUCAAACAACAAACAAAUCUAUCAGGAACCCAACCCAAAAACAUACCCAGCAGAAGAGGAACUCGAUUGUGUUAUCGCCACCAACGAUCGAGCCAUCAUGUGAUACAGAAGCAUCACUACUGUGUGACACAAAGAUGUUAGCGAAUCUGCUACCAAGAGCCGAGACAACCACCAAAUCUUCUCUGCACAUGAACACCAACACGAAAUCCAACAACAUAAUUAAUUCAAGAAUCCAGACCCCAGAACCAUAUACAACAUCUAGCAACAAAUGGCCAGGCAAGGGAUUGCCAGGCUGAUAUUGCCAACACACCUAUGGUUAACAUAUGAUACGACGCCUUACUCAGAGGAUUGAGUCAGCGAACCUUUGUCAUGUUAGGGUGUUGGGUUUGUGAGAUAUGGAUUGAAAGCUUCUAAUGUGGGGUUUCGAGAAUUAGGGUUUUGAAUUGGAGGUUGAGUUGUUGUGAUUUGUUUCAUAUUUAUAUAUAUAUAGUCCGUUUCAGAUACGGACAUCUGCACCACCUUAAAGUGAUGUCGUCUCUCCGUUCGCCACCGUACGGCGCCGACGAGGGCGCGCCUCCACCCUAGCGGACUCCAACAGCGUCCCCGACCACUUUCCCUCCCCGGCGAGUCCACCGAAUUCCAGUUUUCUGGCCAGAUCACCCAAAACUUCAAACAAAGUCAAUCUGGCCGGAAAACUGGAAUUCGGCGGACUCGCCGGAGAUGGAAAGUGGUCGGGGAAGCUGUUGGAGUCCGCUGGGGUGGAGGUGUGCCCUCGCCGGUUCCGUACGGUGGCGUCAGGAGGGAUGUCCGCACUUUAAGAGCCGUGCGGAUGUCCGUACUUGAUAAUCCCUAUAUAUAUAGUUCCCUUCUAGAGCGGUGUCCCGUUUUGAAAUUAAAAUGUGGACCUCCUUAUUUCGCUCACUUUCAGGUCGCAUUUUCACAUCUCAACUGUACAAUGUUUAGAACACAGUGUGUAGAUCAUUCCUGCAAAGUUUCAUCUAAUUUGAAGAUCAAUUUUGCUUCCGUAAUCGUGAUUUACAUGAACGAUUCUAUUUGGACAGUUUUUGUUCUGUUGAUUUAUUUAAUUUAAUUCGGUACCCAAAUGAUCUUCAAAUUGGAUGAAACUUUGCAUGAAUGAUCUACACACUAUGUUCUAGACAUUGUACGGUUGAGAUGUGGAAAUGCAACCUGAAAGUGAGCGAAAUAAGGAGGUCCACACUUUAAUUUCAAAGCGGGACACCGCUCUGGAAGGGAUAUAUAUAUAUAUAUAUAUAUAUAUAGAGAGAGAGAGAGAGAGAGAGAGAGAGAGAGAGAGAGAGUAGUAGUNNNNNNNNNNNNNNNNNNNNGAGAGAGAGAGAUAGAGAUUCCUGAAUUGAAUAUGCAAGGGUCCAUGAACGUGCAAUGAGAUGGGUACGUAGGUGAAAUAGAGGAAUUAAGAAAGGGUGUGGUCCUCAUGGUUUAAUGGUUGUAGUAAAGAAAUUCAGAUGUGGUUGGUGUUAAGGUUAGAACCCUUAAACUAAUGUUGUUGUAUGGUUUGCAAAAUGGUUUAGAGCCUUUACUACUACAAAUAUGGUUAUUGAUGACAUUUCAAAGAUGGCGUUUUAUAGUCAAAUGUCAUCGAAAGUAUCUUUAAUGACGUUUUUGGAAGAAAAAAAACGUCAUUGAUAACUUGACGCUGUAGAUGUGUGUUCUUUUUAUGGCGUUUCGUAAACGCCGUUAAAAUUCCAAAGUAUCAAUGGCGUUUUAUAAACGCCAUUAAAAUUUAUGACGUUUGUAUAAUGCCGUCGUAAGUUUCAUUUAUGGCGUUUGAAAACGCCGUAAAAUAUUUUCAGGACUAUGGCGUUUGUAGACGUCGUAAUGGGCUGUCAUGCAAUCUGGCGGUCUUUUCUUUUUUUCAUUUUCAGAUCAGGCGGUCUUUUUUUUUGGCGCCUGAAGCCCAAAAGAGGGGUUUUACACCCAAACACAAUUUCCUCUUCUCAAACCAAACACAAUUUCCUCUAAGACAAAAAAAAAAAAAUUUCCCAAAUCACCAAGAGUCCAGCUUCGAUCGCUCAAAGACCAAGAGACCAAGCUUUGCUCUCUCAUCUCAAUCUUCGUCUGCUCCGUCCUUCAAUCUGUUUGGAGCUUUGGCCAAACCACCCACUUGCUCUCUCCACGUUCACUACCCCUCUAGGCCUCUCUGAGCUCUUCCCACCUUCACUCUUUCAAAUCAAUCCUCCUCUUUCCGACCCAAGAGAGCUCUCUCUUUCCGUUGCUUUGCUGGUACUUCACUCACUCUUCUCUCAAUCAUUGAUCUUCUUGUUUACCUUGGCUGAGUUUGAUAUGUAUUCAAUGAAUGAAUGUUGGGUUUUCGAUUUAGGCUGUUUUUGCUGGAAGUUGUUUAAUUUUUUUGUAUGUGGGUUGUGUUUGUUUUGUCUAAAUUUCAUAUAAUUAUAUGGAUGUUGCAAAGAAUGAGAUUAUUUCUGGUUAAAGUUGACGUUAUUCUAGUAAAGUUCCGGCCUUUGGUUUCGUCAAUGACUUUUUCAGUAGGAUGGGUAAUAUCCUCCCAAUUUUUUCAUCCCUAUCAUUGGAUUUAUAGAAUUGGUUUUUGGUUUAAUUUGCCCUGUCAAUAUCAUCAGUUUGCCAUUUUUUUUCUUUUAUCAAAAUUUGUGUCUGCCAUGAACCAAAAGAAAAAGGUGAUGAAGCAGUUUAAUAUUUUGUUUUGGCCUGGUGAAUUGGCUUGGCAAGUUGGAUUAUAAAUUGGUUGUAUGGUUCUAUGUGCUGGGUGUGAUUAGUUUGGAGGAUGUUUUCAUAUUUGAGGAGGAACUUGUUGUGUUUAUUGCCUUUAUUAUUUUGAUGCUAAGGAGUUUGGGUAGUAUGCAAAACUUUGAGGAGUCAAUUCAAGUGUAGAGAGGAGUUAAGUUGGUUAUGAGCUGCUAUAGUGCAUAUGCAAUUUCAAUAUUUAGUCAGAUUUUUAAGUUUGGAUUGUGUUGCCGAUAUAUAAAUAUGGGAGCUACUGGUAAUCUUCUGAUGGAAUGCUAAGUAUAUUGUGGCCAUAUAUCAAUUGGAUUUGCAAGUGUGUAGUGUUUAUAAAAGUUGAAGCAUUUAGUGACAAAUGCAGUUUAUUAGUUUACAAUUGAAGGAAAAGAUGCAGUUUUUUCAGCAAAUGAAGCUUUUCAAUUUGUUAGUUUACAGUUGAAGAAAAAUAUGAAGUUUUCAGAUUUGGGUUUUUAGUUAUACAUCUUUGCUGCUAUGUGUUGCCAAGGAUACUUCACGUAUUGUUGCACUACUGUUCAUGUGAAGGUACUUAAGGACUCUUGUUUGUCUCCUGCUAUGGUUUAUCUUUUUUUAAAAGUUUCAGCACCUCUAUUUUGUAUUUUAUCAUACUUUAUAAUCAUGUGUAUUUUUAGUAUAGCUAACCAUUAUGGUUUACUACAGGUUCCCAUAUAUUUAUAAUCGGGAUGGAACUGAACUUCAACCUGUUUUUCAUUUUUUAAUCAAUGUGCAAUUGGGUCAUUAGUAGGAAACCUGUUUUCCAUUUUUUAAUCAACCUGUUUUCCAACUUUUGGGUGUUCGUUGGCUUGGUUUUUGACUGCAGUUGUUCUGGCUUUAAUGGGUUUUUGUUGUUGGUUUUAGAUUACAGGUUGAUGAUUAUGACGUGAACACUUAUUAUUGAAGAGCUCUCUGUCUUUGAAUUUGGCAUCUUGGCUUGAUAUUGUUGUUUGUUUGUUUGAGGAGUAAUUCUGGUAAGUUAUCAUCCCAAAAGUUUUGUACUUUCUGAAUGCAAUCUCUAUUGAAUUUUACUUGGAUGAUUCUUCGUUGUUAUGGUAGUGCUUUUGUGUUCAUUGUGAUCGUUUUUUAUAUUUGUGAAAAAUGCUAUCUAUAUUCAGACUAUUGGUUCAGCAUAGCUUGUAUCUUAUACUCAUGUUUUAAAUUUCGGUUUUCUAACUAUUUAUGAAUGGCUGGUUUUGUGUAGUUUUGAAAUGAGAUUUUGAAUUGCUUUGGAGUUCCUAGCUCUUCUGUUUAUCCUUAGAUGGAUGCAGUGAAUUUGUUUAUUCAUGUUAACUAGUUAGAUAUAAGGUUGGUGGGCGUAUAUUUCUCAACUCGUUUGAUUUAUGUUUGUGUAGAUGUAGACAUGCUCUUUGUCUGUAGUUCUAGUUUUUAUUGAUUACUCUAUGUUAAUAUAUCUGUUAAUACUCUAUGUACACUAUGUCUUUAUACUCAUGUUUUGUUGUGUGAAAUAAGAAACUGAACUAACUUUAGAGGGGUCAAUAUAGUAUAGGAUUAGAUGUUAACAAUUUAAUAGUUGAAUUUUCAUAUCUUAUUAGGUAAGGAGAUCUGAGAUUUGAUUCUCAUUUAGCAUGGAUAAACGUUGGAUAACCUUAGAUAAAAAUAGAGAUGAGUACCGAGAAGGUGUUAAACAAUUUGUCUUAAAUUUCAAGCGGCAUGCAAGGAAUCCUGAAAUGAUUAUUUGUCCUUGCGCAAUUUGUCGCAACCUUAGCCCACAAACUGACGACGACUUAGAGAUCCAUUUGAUGCGCUACGACGUUGAUCCUGAUUACGAUAUUUGGUGUGCACAUGGUGAAGAGGCAGGCCCAUCUGUAGAAGUUGUAGAUGGUGAAAGUUCAUAUCAUAUUGAUGUGGACUAUGAACUUCCAGAAGUGCAUCAAAUGUACAAAGACCCACACUUCCCUUUUUUUGAUGGAGCUAGAAGUUCAAGGACUAUAAGAACAAAGGAAGAUUACAGAAAAAAAAGUGGAGGAGGCUGAAGUUCCUCUAUAUCCUGGGUGUAAGAAGAAGCACACAAAACUAUCAGUCACCCUCAUAUUCUACAAAUUCAAAGCUGAUAAUGGCCUUGCUGACUCAUCAUUUGAUGAACUGCUCGAAGUAAUUAAAGCUAUGCUUCCAGAAGUUAAUACUUUUCCUGAAUCUCUGCACAGAAUAAAAAAAUUCUUGAAAGGAUUUGAUUUGGGGUAUGAGAAAAUUGACGCAUGCAUCAAUGAUUGUUGCCUGUUUAGAAGUGAAAAGAAGAAGAACAUGCAGAACUGCCUCGAAUGUAAUGCUUCAAGGUGGAAAGUAAAACCACGGACCAAUGAGAUAAAUACGGGAGUGCCUGCAAAGGUUUUGCGUUAUUUUCCUAUAAUUCCAAGGAUUAAGAGGAUGUUUCUUUCAGCGAGUAAUAGUGAGCUGUUAACUUGGCACUCUACUCAUCACAGUCAAGAUGGCAUGAUGCGCCAUCCAGUUGACUCAAUUCAAUGGUGCACUGUUGAUCAAAAGUGGCCAAGUUUUGCUUCUGAGCCACGAAACUUAAGAUUUGGACUAGCCACUGAUGGUUUUAAUCCUUAUAAAAAUCUAUCUUCAACACACAGUAUUUGGCCUGUGAUUUUAGUCAUCUACAAUCUGUCACCUAAUGUUUGCAUGUCAUCAGAAAAUUUGAUGCUAAGUCUACUCAUUCCAGGCCCCAAACAACCAGGGAAUGAUAUAGACGUGUAUUUGGAGCCAUUGAUAGAUGACUUAAAGGAGCUAUGGACUAAUGGGGUGGAGAUGUAUGAUGCAUACAACAGGGCGACAUUCUACCUGAAAGCUAUCCUUUUGUGGACAAUAAAUGACUUUCCAACCUAUGGCAAUCUGGCUGGUUUAACUACAAAAGGAGAAUUUGCAUGUCCCGUUUGUGGUCCUGACACAUGUUCUAAAUGGUUAGCGCUUGCGAAUAAGACUGUGUAUCUAGGUUACAGAAUGUUUCUUGCCUAAAUCACCCUUUUCGCUCCAAGCACAAGUGGUUUGAUGGAACAAAGGAAAGAAGGAGAAGACCAAAGAUAUUUACUGGAUUGGCUGUUGUACAUGCCUUACGUGGGUUCAAAAAUAAAUUUGGCAAGAAAAAGAAGAAUGCAAAGAAGAAAUACAAGAAAGGAGAUUGGUCUAAAUUGCUAAAAAAGAAGUCAAUAUUUUUUGACUUGCCAUAUUGGGAGGUUAGUAGGUUUUUUGUGUUGUUUGCUGGUUAUGCAUUUAGAUCUGUUUGUAUGUUAUCUUAGCUAUUUUUCAUGACCUAAAUGUAUAUUUGGUGAAUUAUAGGUACUGCCUUUGCGUCACAAUUUGGAUGUCAUGCAUAUUGAAAAGAAUGUGUGUGAAAGUGUCUUAACAACCAUAUUAGAUGUCAAUGGUAAAUCGAAAAUUGAGAAUGAGUCUCGUAGAGAUCUUGAGUUACUAGAACUGAUGGAAGAUAUGCCUGUGGAAGAAAAACGUGCGAAAUUAGAGCUACUAUCUGCACCUUACACAUUAACAAAGGUUGAGAAACCUAAAUUUUGUGGUAAGUUGUAUUUUCAAAAGUUUUCUGAUGGGUAUUGCAGUAAUAUUGGUAGCUGUGUCAAGCUAAAAGAGUGCACGAUACUUGGUCUUAAGUCCCAUGACCAUCAUGUUUUAAUGCAACAACUGUUGUUUGUUGCAUUAAAAGGGUUUUUACCUGAAGGCCUAAGAAAAGCAAUAUGGCAUCUAUCUUCCUUUUUCAAUGAGUUGUGUCAAAGGGUAUUGGACAGAAAAAGGUUGGAAGAGUUGGAAGAUGAUAUCGUAUUGACUUUAUGUUUGCUGGAGAGAUACUUCCCUCCAUCCUUCUUUGACAUUAUGAUCCACCUUACUAUUCACAUUGGAAGAGAAGCUAAGCUAUGUGGUCUAAUACUGUACCCUUUUGAGAGGUAACCCAAUUAAAGCGUUUUUGUACCCUUUUGACUUAGUUAAUCUUGCUUGCAAAUGUUACUUUUUUGUUUUUUCUGUUUGUUGACUUUUUUUGUUUUCUUAAACUUGUUAGAUAUAAGAAGGUACUUAAGGACAAUGUUAAGAAUCAUGCUAGACCUGAAGGAUCUAUAGCUGAAAACUAUUUAGCUGAUGCGUGCUUGAGGUUUUGUGGUUGAUACAUGAAACAAGUAGAUGCGAUUAGUUCUAAAAGGAAACGUAAUGAAGCUGUUGAAGAUGAAACUAUUGUAGAAGGGUCUACAUUGUUAAAAGGGUGUUCAGUACUUUUAUCACAUUCGAUACACAAAGCUGUUCAUCUUUGUGUGUUGCUUAAUAGUGCAGAAGUUGAACCAUAUGUACAGUAAGUCAUUUGCAUAUGGUUAUUGUUGAUAAUAUAUUUUGCAUUACUGAAUUAUAGAUUAACUCUUAAAUUUCUAUUAGGGUUCACAAAGAAGAAUUAACUCUUUCAGACCCACAUUUAAUUACUGAUAACAGCUUGUUAGAGAAAACUCAUUUAGAGACAUUCGUCGUUUGGUUACAAGCCAAGGUUUGAUAUACUCAAUUCACUCUGUCAAUUCUAUGGUAACUAACUCCAAGUGCUAAUUGAAAAGUCUUGUUAUUUGAAUAAUGUACAGAUUAUGUCUGAAGCUAGAGAGGGGUUUUUGUCGGAUACUUUGAAGUUGCUUGUGAAAGGGCCUAGAUUUUAUGCAAUGUCGCAUAUUGGUUUUGUAAUACAUGGAAAACACUUUCACACAAUAGAUGCAAAUGUUUCCACGGCAGAUUAUGGUGUCCAUAUUGAAGCAGAUUCUAGUCUGAAUUAUUAUGGAAUUAUAAGAGAAAUAUUGGUGUUAGACUACUACAUUUUCCGGUUGGCUAUCUUUCGGUGUGACUGGGCAAACAUUGUUAGUGGUGUGAAAAAGGGGGAUGGGUUCACUUUAGUUAACCUUCGUGAUGGUUUAGAUAAAAAAGAUCAAUUCAUUUUAGCAUCACAUGCUAAACAAGUGUUGGUAUGUGGUGCUGAAGGCUCCUCCAAGAGGCUUUCAUGAUUUAGAGCUUUUUGAUGAGUCUGUUUUUAUGUCAUAUGUUCCGUAAGAUAUUUCCGCACUGGACAUAGACAACUUGGAUAGUGAUGAAAGUUAACAUUGUUGUGAAAUCUUUUGUAAUCUGUUGUCUACGUACAUAUGAUGUAAGUUGUGUUUUGUACUAAUGAAAAUGGUGUGUUUACUGUAUGGUUUGCCUCUGAUACUUAGAGCAUUAAAGCUGAUACAUUGAAGUUGAUAAAUCAUAUUUUGUGCCUCCUAGACUUCAUUCUUGAGCGGAACAUUAUCCAGGGGAACUAGCUAAGAUACAAUGGCUGAGGUAUGAUUUUAUUUGCACUACUAUAAUGUUAACUUGUAUAACAUAUGUAUUUAUCUGCUUUUAAGUAUCCAUUUUCAUGUUGUGUAGACUGUGACUAGUGGGAGGAAGAGGGGUAGAAGUGUGACAGAUGGAAAUUCUGUGCAAUGUGCACAGUCUACUGAUGAAUGAGAGAAUCAUGAUGUGUCUGUAAAGAAAAAGAAACCAAGAGGUAGAACCUGUUUGCAGGUGAUGGCAAUAGGGGAAAAGGAAAAAAAUUAGUGGAGUGGAAUUCAAAGGGGCAACCUGUUGGAGCUGUCUCCGUCAAAUUCUCGUCUACUAUGGGAGUAAUAGUGAGAGAACAAGUGCCAAUUGUCAUCGACAAUUGGCAUGGAGUUAAGGAUCUUGCUAGGGACAGUCUCUGGACACUUCUGAUGGUAAUUCAUACAUGUUUUGGUUAUGCUGUUAGUUAUGUGAUGUUUCUUGUAAUGCCUCAUUUAAUAUUCUAUUUUUAAUUAUUUUAUGGUUGUAAAUUUUUCUGUUCUCAUGGAAACUUUGCAACAAAAGUACAUAGUGGAUGUGUGCUUCAAGCCAUUUAUCUUGCAGCAAAUGGGCAAAUUAUGGAGAUCUUGGAAAUCUGAACUUUCAACUGAGAUAAGAAAAAUUCUGGAAUUGAAAUCGACCAAGACAGAGAGGACAAAUCUUAUUGCCAAACUGAAGCCUCAUGAUGUGUCAUUACCAGAGUGGGAUCAAUUCGUGCAACAACGCAUGUCUGAUAAGUGGCUGGUAAGUAAUUAGCAUAACUUUAUUUGGUAAUUUUAAGUUUAAACUUCAUUUGAACUCGACAUGAUAGACAUAUUCAUGUAGGCAAAAAGUUUGAAAAUGAGAGAAAUAAGAGCAAAACAGACUCUUACACACACAUUGAGUCGAAAAGGGUAUGCACGAAAGGAAGAUGAACAUGUAAAUCUGCCUUAGAGUUAUAAUCUAUAUAUUUAUCUUCCACUUUGAAGUUACGUUUCCGCAAGUGUAGUUUCCAGUUUUCAGAAAUUACUUUCAUGACUUUCCUUUUUAGAACAAAGAACACCCUGACAAGCCUCUAACCAAGCCACAACUUUAGAUUGAAGCACAUGUGUCAAAGAAAAAGACAAGCGAGGCUAACGCUGCUAAAAUUGUAUUAAGUCUACACUUUUAUGUAUCAUCUAAUAUUUUACUUAGUUGCUUCUAAAUAAUUACAUUGUGGCUUGCAUAUUGUUUUGGUGUAGGCUGAGGUACAAAAGAAAAUUGAUGAGGCUACUGAUGAUGGAGAGGCUAUUUUGAUUCAAGUCCUAGGACUAGAGCGCCCUGGUCGUAUUAGAGGUGUUGGGGCAGGGGUUACAAAAACAAAGCUAUAUGCUCAAGCACAAAGUGACGCAAAAAUUGAAAAACUAGAGGCCAAACUGCAGGUAAUGACUACAAAAUAUCAAAAAAUAGAAGCUGCAUUAGCUUCCAAACUUGGAAUAAGUUUGGAGGAUGAUGAUGAAAGUGGGGAAGUUGCACCUACAAUUCCAAGGUAUAUAUUCAUGUUCAUGUUUCUUUUCAUUUCAUAUAUUUUAGUGUCAUAUUUGGAUGCUUAUCUAGAUUUCCUUGAUUACAUAGACUAAAGUCCAAUGUAAUGCAACCAAGUCCAGAGGGUAUUGCAACCCCAAAGGUAUGAGUAAUUGUGUUGGUGUAAAUAUUGUGUUCAUAUAUAUAAUUCAAUCAAUACAAGGUAAUCACUUCUAUGUUUUAUAUUUCGUAGUCGGGACAGGGAAGCACCCAUCAGCCUUCAAUUCAUGACAAGUGCAAGUUGUUAAACUGGAAUGGUAAUGGUGAAGUAGUGGCAAGAGGUUCCCUCUUAGCAACAGAUCCAAAAUCAACAGUGCAUGGGUACACACUUGGACCUGAUUGUUAUAGGGUUUCCAUUGAAGAUGUAUUUAUGGAAAGAGCAGAAUUUUAUCGCUCUGAGCCUGAAUUUGCAAACCUUGAGGAUGCACGUGGCAGCACAAUUGCUUGGCCAAUCAAGUACAUUGUCUUUGAUGACUGAAUAUGAGGUAAAUAAAUCUUAAAUUCACCAUUGCCCAAGUUGGACUAUCUAGAAUAAAUCUUUAUUUACCCUGUCUUAUGUGAUACAUGUUUUGCUAUGCAUUUUGUAGUCUCAUGUUUGGAAACGAAUUUGCCAACCACCAAACCUUUGGUGGUCAUAGGACCAUCAAAUAUCAAGCUGCCAUGUGUGAUAAAUGCUAACCAUAGUUAACCAAACUAAUAAGAUAGAAAAAAGAGCUUAAUAACAAUAAUACUCAAAAUAUUUUAUGCAUAUCUUAUUACCUUUAAUUGUUCAUUUAAUUUUCUAAACCUUUCAUUUUCUACCGUCUUCUACCAUCUUUUUCCGUCACUCAUCAUCAACUUCUAUUCUUCUACUCAGUUUUUUUUUCUCUAGGUCACUCUCAUAUAAAAAUUACCCUUUUUUUUAGUGUGUAAAAGCCUCUUAAAUGGGAAUACUCUUGAAGAUUUUAUCAAGAGAUGUGUCAAAGAGUGAGUAGGGGACAGGGGCGAGUGGUUUUGAUCGGACUUGUGUGGUGGGGGGUAAGAGAGAUAGUGAUGAAGGAGAGACAGAGAGUUAGAAAAGGAGUUCUGUUGUUCAAACCCAGAUGCAGAAAUUUUUUAAAAAUAGAGGCAGUUUUCUUCAUGAAAACUUUGGACUUAUGAGAGGAUUUUGAUUUCCCCUAAUUCCAUCAAUACUUGGGGUUUCGGUCUGGAUUUGAUCCCUCAUCGUUUUUGCUUUCUUGUAUAUCUGUUAUAGGUAGGAAGGAGGUUGUGAUUGAUAAGUUGGUUUGGAUUUGAUCCAUCAUCGUUUUUGCUUUCUUGUAUAUCUGUUAUAGGUAGGAAGGAGGUUGUGAUUGAUAAGUUGGAAGAAUAUUGUAUGACCUAAUCCAUCCUCACACUUCAGUUCAAUUUCGUGCCUUCAGUUGAGUACUUGAGAUUUGAUAAUAGAUGUAGAUUGUGAUUUGACGGGCAAGUUAUACUUUGUUCAUCAUCUUGUAGGAUUCUGGGUCUACGAUGAAAAGGUUGAAUUAAUAAAUAAUUAAAUACUAAGCAAGUUUUGUGUUAACCAUAGUUAGUCAUAUUUACAGUGUUUUACACAUGGCAGCUUGGUAUUUGAUGGUCCUAUGGCCAACAAAAGCUUCAUGGUUGGCAAAUUUGAAUCCCUCAUAUUUAGUGUUGUAUGUAUGUUGGAGUUGGAGAUUGCUUCAUUUUGUUAAAAGUGCUUCCUUUUUUACAGUGUAUAUGGUGGACAGUUUGGUGGGUUUAGAGGCCAGGUUUGUUGUCAAAUUGCAAGAGGGUUUUGGCAGGAAGAUUUGGUGAAGUGUUCAUGAGGACCAUGCAACUCUACCUCUUUUUGUGUUUGUGAACUCAUUUACUUUCUCAUAUGCAAGGAUCUUAUAAACUCUUGGAUUUCUAAGUUAUUAGAAUGAUUAUUAAAUGUGAAGGAUUCAAGUUUGUGAAUAGAUUAAUUUCUAUAUGAUGUUUAUGUUGUUUGUUGGUUAUUUAUAAAUGCAUCAACUAAUGGUUAUUGCCCUGGUUAAAUGAGAUUUUUUUUUAUUUACAGAAAAUAAGAUGACGUUUAUAAAACGUCAUUAGAUUGUUUUUACCAUGUUUGGAAAACGCCAUCCAUGAUUUUAUAAACAAAAUUCAAAAUGAAAGAUGGCGUUUAGGAAGUGUCAUAUUAUAGAUUUAAUAUGGAAGUAUAUUUUGAAAACGCCAUGUUUUGAAAACGCCAUAUUUUAAGAUGGCGUUUUUACCAUGUUUUGAAAACGCUAUGGAAGUAUAUUUAUGGAGUUUUAGAAACGCCGUGGAUGUAGUGAUUGAUGGCAUUUUACAAACGUCAUAAAAUAUAUUUCAUGGCCUUUUUCAAACGCCGUGGAACUGAUUUUAUGGCGUUUUUCAAAAGCCGUGAAAUCAGUUCCAAAGGACGGCGUCACUUUAGACUGCGUUACGGGAUGACGUUGAAACACGCCGUGGAUGACAUUCUAUGGCGUUUUUCAAACGCCGUGGAUGUGUAUUUGUGUACUAGUGCUUUGAGAUAUAUGAGCCGUGUUAAUUAUUGACAAUGUUCUACUUUGGCACUAAAUGGGCAAUCAUCGUGAGUUAGUUGAUGAUUGCAGCUAGUUCUUUCUGAUUAGAUUUUCUCAUAUUUGUUGUUGUGUGUUAUUUAUUGGUUUCCAUAUGUAGUUAGUUGUAUGUAUUGUUCUGACUAUUUGAUUAUUCCUUUCAGACCACACCCUGAUUGAUUAUUUUUCAAUCAAGGUAUAUCAUGGGGGAUAUAUAGAUCAUAUUUCAGGCACGUACAUUGGAGGGAGUAUCAAUUACUAUGAUAAUGUUGACAAAGACAAAAUGUCGUUGAUUGAAGUGGAUGGCAUGGUGAGGGCCGGGGUAUCAAAGGUGCGUAUGAGAAGGACACUGAAGGAGGCCUCAAGCUUGGAAGGGUUCAAAAAUCUUUGAGGUGUCGCAAUUGUGGCACAUUGGGUCACAACAUCAAGAUGUGUCAUAGGCAUCUUCCACCUAAAACACCAGCUCAUGAGAUUGGGACAAAGAAGAGAAAGCUAAACAGUGGAGACGCAUCAUCUAUUAAGGUAUAUACUGGUUUUGAUUUUUUUGAUACUUAAAAUGCAUAUGAAAAAUUGUAUAGUACUGAGCUUACUUGGUUUUGGUAAAGGGUACCAAACCACUACCGAAAACCAAGAAUGACCUUAGGACAAAAGCACAGUUGAGAAAAGUUGCAGCAAAGGUAACUGAUGAUUUCAUUAACUGAUUUUAGUUGUUAUUACAAAACACAUUCUUUGCUCUUAGUUGAUAGGUUUCAUGUUAUUAUUGUAGGACAAAAGAGAUGCAAAGAGGGUAGCAGCAAAGGCAACAGGUAGAGGUCCUCCAACUAAGGGUAGACCACCAAAAGCUGCUACCAGCACUGUCAUAAAUGCUUCUGCAAAUACACAGCCUUCUCAAGCUUCCUCAAGAUCAUCAGUGAGGAUCCGAGCAAAUGCAAACAAGGGAGGAAAAUAGAGGAUGAGAAGAGGGGGAUAAGCAACCGAGGUCAAGAUUAAUAGAUGCAAAGUUGCAUUUUUUGUGCAACCACGUGCUACGUCACAUGGUUGCUAGGUCUAAUCUUCUACUUAGAUGAUUAGAGCUAGAGUUUUAUGCAACUUAAUCCAAACAUUUGUGUUUUGUUAGUUUGGAUGUAAACGUACAUUAUGCAUCUAUUAUAUUUGGUUGCUAACUCUGAACAAGUUUCUGGAAAUUUUAUGGUUUUCCUGCAAUGUUCGAUAUGGAUUCCUAUUAAUUGUUUGCUAGUGUUUUUCCUAUUAAUUGCUUGGUACGUGGUGUCUUGAUCCACUUUUGUGAUUUUUUUUUGGAAAAUUGAUGUUAAUUUGAGGACACUUUGAUGUAAUCUAUUAUAUUUGGUUGCUAGUGAACAAGAUUUCUGGAAAUUUUAUAGUUUUGCUCAACUUUUGGUAAUUUUCUGGUGUUUGUCUAGUUCUCUUCAUAUUUUGGAAAUUUUGGAGUUUUUGAUCCACUUUUCUGGAAUUUUUUGAGAAAUUGUUGUUUGAGGAAAUAUUGGUUUAAGGUUUAGUUUAUAAUAUUUUGUUAAAUUUUGGAGGCAGGUGUUUAAUUGACUAUUUUGCCCUCUCUUGGGGUGUAGAAACUGAAAUGUGGGUCAACCUUGUCUGCUCCACAUCAGCGCAUGACGUCAUGUUCAGUGCGAGAUUUAAAUUUUGGUCGAGAUUGAUGUCAUUUUGAAAGUUUAGGGAUGAGUCUGAUUAAAAAAAAAAUGAUGUAUCAGAUUGAUUUUAGAUCUAAAGUUCAGGAGAGUAAACUGAAAUUUUUCCAAAUGUUAAUGAGUUGCUCAACAAGAGUUUAUUAUUUUUCAAGUGACACUGUAGCAGUGACGCCACAAAAACACAAACUGUUAUGUAUAUCUCUAACUUCCUAACAAGAAUUAGAUAUGGGGAAGCAUUGAGUACAUGAAGAAGAAGAGAUGAAGAAGAAGAAUAGUGCACGAGGCUCCCUUAGCUUGAAUGGAAUUCUGCGUAAAGCUAGCUAGAGUUUCUUUUUGGUUAUCAGGUCUGUUCUGUAGAGAGAAAAGGGAUUCCCGGUCAGACUGUUGGGUCUUUCUGCUGAAUGUCAGAGUACUGUUGCUUACACGAAGCUUUGUAAUGCUUUCUUUUCAGUCCAGAAAGGACACCUGACCCUCAAUUACUAAUCUUGGUGCGACGUACAAGAAAAGCUGCAAUUGGCUCCAAGUUCAAAUUUUACUUCUCAAGCCAUCUUUCUUAGGUAGAAUCAUUCUAUGACAGAUUUACAGAAAGAUUGUUACGAAUUCUAAACUUGAGGAAGCUCCAUGAGGAAGGAGGUAUUUCAGCUUCUGAUAUAUAACAACAAAAAUCAUACCCAGUUCUAUGCUCCUCAACAGUAAGCCUAACAAAAUUUUACCACCAAGUACCUCUACUAAAAAUGAAGAGAUAAGCAAUUAUAUAUGUGACAUAUUAUGUGAAGCUACAUUUGAGAAUAUUCAUACGAUGUUCCUCGUAGAAGAUCGAACCUCGUACCAAUUCAUUUUCCUUUGAAAGACAGGAUCAUGAAGUUGCCCUCAAGUAUGUUGUUUAGGUAACGAGGGAGAUUCACUAUGAUCAAUGGGAGAGGGGAAAACAUCAGACAUUGUGUCCCAUGAAAUGUUUUCAUCCUUCUUUCGUCUUCUGUCCAAGAAGGCCGGUUUCAUAGGUAGUGUUUCAGUCAUCUGAACUUUGCAUGUUAACAUUGCUACAAUGUCUGACAUGGGGGGUCUCAGAUUUGCAUGAGGCUGAAGGCAUAAGAAUGCCACAUUGAUUGCUUGCAUAACAUCCUUCCCCUCAAAUCCAUCUUCAUGCAGUUUUGGAUCGAGUAGAUCAGUCACCUCUGAUCUCUCGUAUAACUUCCACGCCUGAAAUUUUUUAAGUGAAAAUUAGUGCCAAGAUUUCAAACAUUUCUAAGAAAACCACUAAUUGCUGAAAGAGUAAAAGCUUACGUAUUCAGGCAGGUAUUGCAUUUCUGAUGCUAGCUUAAGAUCUGUGUUUUUCCUGCCACUAAUUAUUUCAAGCACAAGGACUCCAAAACUAUAUAUAUCCGCCUUUUCAGACAGUUGUCCUCUAAUAGCAUAUUCAGGCGCUGUAUAUCCUCUGAGGAAACAGGUAAAGGGAGUUAAUUAAAAGAGAAAGACCAAAGUUUCUGAAAGGAAAUAAUACUCCCAAAGACACUUUUUAGUGCUAUGUCCUUUACAUUCAUGCUUCCAACAUUUGAUGGGUUACAAACAAAUUGCGCAAUUCAUCACCUAAUCUCAUAUGUCAGAUGACUUGCUGUAUUACUUUCACUUUUGCAUGACCAAAUCCAGAUUUAUCAUAUAAACGUAAACCAUUUUUCUAUUGAAGACAAGAAAUGAUUUGAAUUCCUAUAAAACAGAAGUUCAACCGGUUUAAUUUAUCUAUGGUAUCAAUGUAUAGUAAAGUUGAUACGAAGUUCAACCGGUUUAAUUUAUCUAAUUUAUCUAACAGAUGUGAUGUUCAAACAAAUAUAGGGAAGAAAUAAAGUUGAUAUGAAGUCUUUGGUUGGUAAAGAAACUAGAGUCUAUAUCAGAAAAUUCAGAGCUGUAGAGACAAAAGUGGAAGCAUACUAGACCCUUGAUGAUUGUGAUGCUUGCAGCACAAUAAGUCCUGUUCUUUUCAAAAUGACUAUUCUAUUUUCCAUCUCUCUUUUCUUCCCUUCCUGUUUCCCUUCCUGUAUUUUCUUUCAGAAAAUGGGCUAUAUGUAAUACCAAAUCUUUAACUACUGUUUAACAUAUGUCGUCUAAUCAUUGACUUAGGAAAUUUUUAUAUUAGCUGAAGGACUUACAGAGUUCCCGCAAAUGUUGUACUGAGAUAAGCUUGGUCUUCAGGGAAGAACCUAGCUAGCCCAAAAUCUCCAAUCCUUGGUUGAAACUUUUCAUCAAGAAGAAUGUUGCUCGCCUUGAUAUCUCGGUGGAUAAUUCUUAGUGGGGAAUCCUCAUGUAGAUAUUGUAAGCCUCUAGCGAUUCCAACAAUUAUCUGGAACCUAGUGCUCCAGUUCAGGAACAGAUCACUUUUCCCUGUUUUUCAUCAAAAGGAAUCAUAAGCAAUAAUCAAACCGAAAUGAUAAAUUUGCACUUUAGAUGGAUGAAACAUGAAAGGAAAACUAGCCAAGAAAUUAAUACCAUAUAUUAUAUGGUCCAAGCUCUUGUUUUUCAUGUACUCAUAUACCAAGAGUCGCUGAGGCCCGUGUGAACAACAUCCAACAAGUUGAACCAAGUUCCUGUGUUGGACGCUAGUGAUCAACCUUACCUCUGCAAGAAACUCAUUUUCUCCUUGUUGGGAUUUAUCAAGAGAUAACCUCUUAACAGCAAUUAACCUCCCAUCUUUUAAUUUUCCCUAAGAAAAAGAUAUAAUGCAUGUUAGAAAAGAAGGACACUUAGAGUAUGUGUCUCAAGAUCCCAACAAUGUGUUCUAUUCAAGUGUAUUAUUGUUUUGGUUUAUCAUAUCAGUUGAAUAAUGUUCCCUCUGGAAACUUGUAGUGUGCAGAUAUGUCUCACUCUCAACCCUAGAACGUUCAUGCAAAAAAGUUUAAAAAAAAAAAAAAAAAAAAUAAUUACUACCACAAUAUGUUCCAUAGGUCCAGGAAUAGUACCUUGUAGACAGGGCCGAAGCCACCUCUCCCAAGUAGAUUGCUCUUAUGGAAGUUCUUCGUUGCCUUCUUCAAUGUUGGGAAGUCAAAAUAGCUUAUUGUUCUAAGGAUUCCACUGAAUGCGUCUGUCGAUGCUGCAUUAAAAAGAAAAAGUAUUAACAGUGAGGUUAUGAUCAAGAUUCUGGUUGUUAUUUGUUUGAUCAAUAAUCUAACCUGGCCGUUUUCUUGCUCUUGCUACCAACUUCUUAAUCUCUUCUGGUUUGAUCUUUUUCCGAAAGAUAUAUACAAUUAUAAGCAGGAUGAUGAGCAUGACUAUCCCUCCAAGAAAAAAGAACAAGGCUGUAGACCGCGACUUAGAUGUGGAGGGUUCUGCUGAAGACAUCACUACAACCAAAAAAUUGUAAAUCUGUAUUAGUAGGUUGGACUCAAUUGAAAUAAGAUAUACUCAAAACAAAGUUGAGCAAGACAAUGAGAUCAUUAAUUGAAUUGUUCUAAUGCAUGGAUCUGUGAAUAUGAUGUGACCACAAGCCAUUAGAUGCACCUUCCUUCAUAACUCUCUGUCAGUAUCUCAUAAGAACCUUACAGGUCAAUGAAAAAAACCAUUCAGAUUAAGCACCCCAAAGCUAUAACACUUCUGGUUUCGGUCAGUUAGUCUCUUUGCUAGUGCCUAGUGCUAAUCUUAUCAUGAAACCCUUGAUAUUGUUUACAAAAUAUGCAUGAUUGAUCACUAAUACAUACAUAUAUGAGCAGAUUUGAUGAUUGAUCAUAUCCUCUACAAUACCAUCAAAUAUACAUAUAUAUAUAUAUAUAUAUAUAUAUAUAUAUAUAUAUUGUGUUUUAUGAAUGAUUGAGGAUGCAAAAACUGAAACCAUAUAAAAUUUCCAAUAGAUAAUAAAACUGAAACCAAGGCUCCUCUGGUAUGAUCACUGUGACAAUUUUAGCAACAUGACCAAUAUGCAAGGCUGAUGUUUUUUUGCAGCAAACCAGCAAAGCAAUCGUUACCUUCCAGUAAGAGACGAGUCAUGGUGAGGCAAUAGUUUUGUGUUGCAGCAGAAAAUGUGGAGAAUGGUGUUGCUGGUAUAAUGGUAUUGCACUACUGGCUGCUCAACAACAGCAGCACCAGAAACUGCCACAUUCAUCCAUUGUUGGGUUUUUCUUGCAUUGGUAAAAGACUUGUGGGGGAGAGACUGAGGGAAAGACAUAGAGGGUUAGCAUAGAAGUAAUCGAUAGAAAGGAAUAUCGGACAUUACAAUAUGUGUGGGUUUUUGGCCACUAAUUGGAACGAAGUUUUGUCAAUUGCUCAAAGACAAACUUAAUGAUUUGAAUGACGUACUUCAGUAUCAGUAAUAGUAACACAGACAUAUAGGUAUUAUAUGUAUUAGUCCAGUUCUUUCUGGAAACUCAUACUCAUCGAAGAAAGAAAAAAAAUUCAUUCAACUCAUGCAUUGCAUCGGUAAAUUUCAUUCCAUCUGGCUUUGGCUCUUCCCCCUACUCGACCGGAUACCAUGCAGAGAAUUUUACCGUGGUACCUUCUAAGGGUUACUAUGAUACUAACAAUGAUACUCUUUUUUAGUGUAAAUAUUCUUUUCUAAACGACUUGAUGUUCAUUUUAUUGACACUUUCAGAAAAGUGAUUAAGAGCAUUUAUUCCUGGACAUAAGGUCGGGCCUCCUAAAAAUACAAAAAAUAGAGAGAUAGAAAAGACUUCAUUGAAAUAUUACCAAUGGGUAAACUCUUGACUUGCUAAUCACAUUAACAGUUGUCACAUUGUAACUUUGUUAAUAAUUUAAUUGAAUUACACAUAUAGGAGAUUUGUGAUAGCAACAGAUAGAAACAUAGAAGAUUUCAUCAAACCAGUUGGCAUCACAAAUCUACUGUAUUUUACUAAGCCCUUGAUGCCUUGUUUGCUGCUGUGUCAUCAAACUGUCUCAUAGUUACGAUUCUGCGAUUCAUAUAGACUUUACAUGCCAAGCAAGUUUCACAGGAUCACAGUUUAUAUGAAUUACAUGACAAGAACUAAAUUAUGAACUUACAGGAACUGCUUAUUGGCACAAUACACCAAUUCAUAAUCCUGUUCGUCUAGGGAGAAACCUAUAUGUGUGAUUCACCCAAUUGGUACAUGUGCUGCAGGUUUGCAUAGCCAGUCCAAUGCAAAAACAAACAAAUGUAAUGACAAAUUGACAAUGAUAAAACAACAGCAGAAACAAUAGUGUCAUUUUAUAUAUUGUUGAUGUAUCUAAAAUGUUUUUUUUAUACAUUGUUGAUUAAGGACUUGUCCACAAAUAUAUUUGGGACUAUUAUGUAACCUUUAGACUUUGGAAGACAUAGUUUCUAUGUAUACUAGGAGUAAUUGGACGAAAGUUGAUGAUAAUCCCAAAGUUUAUAUAUAAUGAUACUUAAGGAGAAAGAAAAUAUACUCAAUUUUACCUCAGAGAUUGCUCCAAUGAUACAAUCGUUGAUAGGUAUCCCCGACCACCAUUCUCAGAAUCAAGGCUUACGAACUAAGUGACCAUUACCGUUUCCAGCCAGUGCUCAUAUCAUUCCUCCAUGUGUUUGGUUCCUUGAAGCUUGAACCCUAUUACCUGUUGACUUGCUUGCUAAAGUUUCCUGGAGCACCACCCAAAUAACAACAAUAGUUGUUAACACUUCAUAUAAGUUAAGGCAGUAAUGGCAGCAGGGAACUAUUUUCAUUAAAAAAGAAAAGAGAAUCAAAUUGGACCAUGGAAUGCAGUUUCUGGAGACAUGGUAUUGCAUUAUUCAUUCAACUUAAGGAGAACAUUGUACACCUUGACAGGGGUUUCUUCACAGCAUCUUUUAACAAACUUCAAGUGUGUAUGUGUUGUGCUUUUUGGGUCUGUUAUUUCUAUGUAUGCUUUGCAACUUUAAUUCUUCUCAUAUUAAGAAGUACAUGAAAAGUACUUGUUGCAACUUCAAAACCUUGUUUGUUGUUUCGAAUCUGAUGAUUUCUAGGAAGAGGAUAGAAACCAUGAUGGCUCAAGAUAUGUUCUUUCCAUAUGAGAGUGGCAUAUUCCGGAUGAUCAACAAACGGAUUUCUGUUGUGUUGAUAAAACUUGCAUACUCUGUCAUUUCUCAGUUUCUCCUCUCUUGAAGGGGGAUCAAUCUCAUUCCACCUUAACAAUGUAGAAAGCAGUCCCAUCUCACUCUUUGCUGCACCAAUGCACUCACAAAUUAAACCAAUCAAGCCAACAAAAGAAAUGCAGUAUUAGUUCCACAUCAAUAACAGCAUAAAUUUUCAAGAUAAAGCAAAUAAGAACAUAUAGAAAUCCAUUCCUACACUAACAUUCAACUUCAAGCUUACUCUCUUAAUAAUCAUUUAUGAACCUUGCUGUUAUUAAAGCAACUACACAGCUGGUUUAGCUCGUAUCACAAGUCCACCUUUUCAAAGGUAGUAGAUAUGCACUAAAAAUCUGGAAUGAUGUAGGCACAAUGACUGGUACUUGCUCACUCAUUCUCCUUGAGUUUCUAAAUUAUGGUUUGAUGAUCAAUCUGAAGUCUCCUUGGUCCUGUUUUUGUUUCCAACUUAUGGUCAGUUUGUUUGUAGUCAAGAUGCAGCUCUAUCUUUGAUGCAAAACUCCAUCCUCCUUGGCCAGUGGUUGUUAUUGGUGAUUUUUCAGGGAAUAGAUAAAUGCAAACAAAGUUCAUGACUCUAAACCUCCUGGACAAAGUGGAAACCCUGACCAGCAUAUUGGUGUAAGCUUGAUGCAGAUGGAAGUUGUAAGCCGAAUAGUUCGUCAUAUUGGUACUGGUGGUUUAUUGAUCGAGAAACUCUUUUAGUUAAUGGAUCAAGGGGUUUGCAAUGAAUUUUCGACAAGGAAUAGAUAUAGAGGCAGAGCUAUUUUCCAGAAGAGCAUGAUGUAAGAGGGCUUGUGUUCGCAUAGGAUUCUAACAAAUGGUUCAAAUCUAUUGCGAUAUGAAAAGACUUAUAUGUAAAAAUGUCUUUGGGAGGGAGUGAAAGCUACUAGCCCAUGCAAGUCUAUAGUGGUUAUAACAUAGAGGCUGAUUUUCUUUUCUUCAUUCAUAGAUGUUGGUUUAGAGAACAAGGAAGAAUCAGAAACAUUUCUGAUGAAUGUGGAAUUCUCUGUCAAGAUCAGCAUGUCUGAUGCAUUAAACUAAGAAUCUUCAAUAAAAAAAAUAUAAAAAAAAUUAAAGCAUAGCUACAUUCACAAGUGGUUUCUAAUGCAGACUCAAGUCCGUAGUUGUCAUUUCCAAAAAAACAAAACAAAAAAUCCUUAGUUGGAGCAUGGAGACAAUCACAACUCAAGCUCAAAGUUUUUUUUUUCUAACUUACAAAUCUUUGGAGAAUCUGAAAGGUGAAGAACUGGGCCUCCAUCUGAUUGACGAUAACCAUAACAUACUGCCAUGUACAUCAGUGCCCUUGCAAUAUCUCCUCUAUGCUUAAAUGGCAUGACAAAGAAAAUCACGUAAGAAAAGAAUAUAUAUGAAACUGACUGUAAAGAUAUAUACACAAACAUUAAUUUGGUAGCCAUAAGAAACCUCGGUAGUGAUUAUGGUACCAUGAUAAAUUGAACCCUGAAUGCAUGGAUAGUCAUUCUGCUAUAGCCUAAACUGGCAAGGAGGGGUUCCCCAUGUUGUGAGAAAUCGACUACCUUGUUUGGUACAAACUGAAUCUGGUUUUGCUUCUGAAAUAACCUACAGAUUAUUUGGUAAAAUUCAAAUUUAGUUUUUUACUUUUGUUCCUGUUAAGUUUCUUAAGAUGUACAUGAAUGCCUCCAACACAGAUGUUGCCUGUGGACUUCCAAGAUUUCCAAUAUUUGGUUAUAAAUAUCUCUUUUUUAAUUUCAUAAUGUUUUUACUAUAUUACUUAUUAUAAAGAGCGAGAAAACUAUGCUAUUCACAUUCGAUUAAUUAUGAUAUGCAAAGUGAAAACCUGUUUAGGUGGCGCCCAUCUAUCCUUGUCAGUUUCUGUGUCCAAAGCAGCUUCUAUAUUUGCUGGCUUCAAACAUUUAGCUGAAGUAACACCGCAUUCUCCAUAGUAUUUAUUCCCCCUAGAGGAAUUGACUGAAAGAAAGUUCAAAUUUUUCUUCUGUUUCUCAGAAAUUUUACGAUGAUAUUCGAGAGAUCUACUUCUCACUUGCAUAAAGGGGACUACUCAUCUUACCAUUGACAUCUGCCGGGCGAAUGUUGUGUAUAUCAGUCAGGGAUGGACCAUUUUUCAAACCAUAAGAACGGGGCCAUAAGUGCUCUCCUGAAAAAAGCAGUAGACGAUGAAGAUCUCAAAGAUUGUUGUAUACAGUUUAAUACCAAUAACAACUUGUAUCUCUGUGGCUAAUACAGUUUAAUAUCUAUCCUUCUCUCUUUAUUACUAUAUUCAUACUGUGAGAAGCUCUCAGUUUGCUAAUUUAAGCAGAACCUGCUCUUCAAAGCCCGCCUUGGGGCUACAACUUCAAGAGCACAUGAAGCCAUUUAUCUACAUUCUCAGAUAAACUUCUGGUAAAUAUCAACUUCUGGUUCACCUAAUUCUCCUUUCUAAUAAAGCUUAGAAUGUCUCUAGAAAAACAAAACCAAAGAGGUGUUAUUCAUUCAAUCCUCACAACAAUACUUCCCCACUACUUGAGUCAUGUAGAUUAUGAUAAAUUAGAAGUAAUUCAAAGAGUUUCUUCAUUAUGAUUUUACUACUCUGAACUGGAACAGAUGAUGUAAACUGUAAAAUUAUCAUGUACUGUGUCUCAAAGACACACAUGGAUCUAGACUGAGAUUGAAGCUACAAUUAUAUGUUACUUGAUAGUUGAUACUUCAUUUAGUUCAACCAAGCAGUCAGGGUUAUUUCCUUUCCUAUCAACAAAACUCCUACACAAUCUUUGACUCAGAUACUAACACUCUUCAUUUCAAGUUUCACCAUUCCAAAACAAUAAUAUUUAGGUUUUGUAGUAUAUACAUUUUGGAUAUGCAAAAUAAAUCAUAAACUGUAAAAGUAUAAGUGAAAGAGUUAAAUCAUGGAACUUAUUAAAUCAUAAAUCGUAAUAAACCUACAUCAAAAUUCAAAAAUCACAGGAACUGCAGAAAAUCAUAGUAAUUGACUCACUAUUCCAUCCUUCAGGCUUUCCAGCUAAUGACUUUGGUACAACCUUCAGGGAGUAAAUCUCAACUCUGCAUACGAAAAAUGGUAAGUAAGUUGGUAACAAGCACAGAGUAAAUGUAACAAUUUUACAAACUGCAGAAAGCUGUUUUGAGGUUUGAUUAGUCCUUACAUCCCUGAUGAAGCUUCUGGGUUGUCAACAUCCGAAGCAUCUAGAAUCUUGAGAGCAUUCCAUACCUGCUUCGAUAAACCAUUGCUAUCAUACCUAUUGAAACAAAGCACCACAACACUCUACUGCACUAAAUAUCAAUUACCUCUCUGUAAGAUAAAGAUUGAUGCUUGCCAAUGAUGGAAUUCAGUCUCUUCUUGAGUAAUUUACCCUCUAGAUGCUCCACAUUGGCAUAGUAAUUGUUAACAUCUUCACAAGCAUAAACAGGAGAUGGGUAAUCGUAGGCCUGAGCAUCAGCAACAAUAUUGAGAAAGAACAAGUAAAAUGAGAUCAUCUGAGAAACCCAUCUCCAUGAGAUAUUGAUGCACCUUGUGAAGUCCCAUCUGCCCCCAUAAACAAUGCAACAAUUAGUCCUUGUAGAAAUGGUGGAGGUGAUUUGGAUGACCAAAUUAUGAAUUGGGUUUGGAUUAAAGCACUUGAAUUUGAAGUUCUCGGGGCUCCGGGACAAGGUGGAUCUCUGCUUAUAGACAACGACGGGUGCUGUGCAAUGGAAUUUGGUAGCCAUAACCGGAGAAGACUGCAUUGUCUUGGAGACCCCAAGUUUCACUGGGAUGAAGGUAAAGGCCAACUGAAGGGCAAGGAGAGCCGCACGAUUUAACUACCGGUUCAGAUAGCCACCGUUUAUUUACACGUAACAAAAAAAAUUGCACUGAUCAGUUUGAAGAGAUGACUCUCUUAGUCUCCUCCUUCCAUGUUCAUAGCUUUCAGACAAUCAGACCCAGCUGGGAAAUCCUCUUUGGCUUCACAGAUUCAACAAGCAAAGAUUAGAGAUUCUAAUAAACUCGACAAUACCAAACUCUUCCCUGUGGUGUAAUAAGUGUGUCACAUUUCCUUCCCUAACAAUAUCAAGCUAGCUUGGUUUGAUCAAGACCUGUUGGCAUCAGAGAAAAUGAUCUCGGCUUCGCGUCAUAAUCUUUCGCCAUGCAUUUCUGGCGGUUCAUAACCCCUACGAGUAACCAAAUGGCUUUGACAAACUGUUCCACAUUUCCCCAUUCCGGUCUCCCAAUCCGUUUAGGAAUAUAAUUGUAAUAUGGGUUGGAAGCAAAAUUCACUCCAUUGGUUGAAGGCUUAUAAUUUAUCCCUCCGUCUGUGGAGGUGUUACUGAGGAUUGUAACGAUGUUUAAUCAAUGAAGUUAUUCAUUCCUUCAAAAAUAAAGUACUAUUGUUACCUACUGCUAUUAGAAAAACGCUCUCUCUAACCUAGAGAGACUGAAGUGCGCCGUUCGCCCUUGAGCAAGGGUUUUGUCACAGCCCUCCCGUCCGGAGGCUCUCUAUUGCGGGUGGGCUUGUCUCGUCGUCACGGUGGGGCUGCCGGACGGGUGAUGAUGAUCCAUGGCCUUUUGGUUUGGAUAUACUGCGGCUUGAAGUCAGAUCUUUGCAUGAUCUGGUUGCUUUUGUUGCUGUCUUUACGUGGAUGGGGAGUUGGUCGAACGUCUCAAGGAGCGACAUGGUCGGCGGUGGUUGCUUGGGUGAGUCGGGGCUUCUAAGAUCUAGGCUGGUGUUUAUCGAGUUCAAGUCUUGGCGGUGGCCCUUGCAGCUGGAGGCGAUCGUGUUGCCAUGGUCUUGUUGGCGGCUAGCGGCGACCUCAACACAUGGAGAGGGUGAUGCAAUUAGGCUAGGUCUUGUUAGCCAAAACGCUGCCCUCAAGUAUAAGGGGUACAAGUAAUAAUAUAGGGAUUAAGAAAGGUUGUCAAACCCACGAGGAUCAGAUUCUUUUCACUAGCUAGGGUGUUAACCUUAAGAGAGCUAGAAUGUGCAAAUGUACAAUCACAAACCUAAACACACAAGGAAAUCUAGGCUCAUGGUGAGUAUGUGCAAAUGGGGUAAUGAAUUGAUCUUGAGUUUUUGAAGUUGUGAACUAAAUUAAACUAAACUAAAUGCUCAAAUAUAAACUAAAUUACUCUAAACUAAACUAGUGGGAUAAUAGAUGGUGUUAGGAUUCGAAUUGUUUGCUACUAACCUCCCUUGCAAGUAUUGAUGCAAAUCAAUAUGAAUAAUGCUAGGCUAAUCAACCAAUUUUUCUCCUUACAUCCCUCUCGGGUAUAACAAGGGACAUACUCCUUUUGUGGUUUGGUAUCAAGCAACCCCUCUCGAGUGUAAUAUUUAACUACUUAAGUCAUGUAUUUCAAUCCGAUUAGGCAUCUAAUGCAUUACCCUAAGUGCAUAAAGUUUGGAGAUGAAGAAAUUAUGCAAACCAACCAAGUUUAUAUCUAAGUGAUUGUAAUUCACAACCUCUACGUGCACACCUAGUGUGCUUUCAUGCUUUAAUAUUCAAAGGUUACCAAGCUCUAAACAUUAUCAUGUCAUGACAAACACACAUAUUUAAAGUGGUAAAUUAUAAGCAUAUGCAUUCAACUCUUGAACUAGCAUGUAAGAAUGUUAACUAAAAUUGCAUCACAUCAUAUAAUAUAACAUCAAUCCAUACAAGAUUGGUUAGGGAAAACCCUAACCCCAGCAAAGUGCUACUCACUCAUAAAUACAUAAACAAACUCCAUAACUAAAUCAAACAGCAAAUUGAAUCUAGAGUGUAAAAGAUAGAGUUGGCUUAGUGGUGUGUCGAUUAGUCCCCAAGCUCACGUCUUGGUGGUGGUGGUGAUGGUGUGAUUCUCCCUCCUUUUUGCUCUUGAAGAUUUGAUGAUGAAAGGUAGUGAAGCUAGAUCUAUGCUUUGUGUGAAUAGGUGGAGUGGAUGGAGAAAAUGAUAGAGAAAAGUGAAUGGAGAAAUGAUGUGGUAGUGGUGAUGACGACCACGCCGAUGCUUCAACAACGGCAAAAAUGGAGUCGAGGUCAAAGCAUCGAGGGAGAUUAUGAUCGGAUUGAUAUGCGGCGGAGGAACUCGGCCAAUCUCGAUCUUGAUCAAGAUGCGCCGGAAACGCCGUCAAACUUGUGCCUUCCGAUGAAGCUAUGAGUUUCAUGUUCUCGUCACAGGGCUAGAUCUUGAAGCUAGAGAUCGGAGGAAGAAAAGUGUCUUCGGUGCAGGUGGUACUGAUGAUGGCAUCGAAGCCAUGUGUGAAGUUUGGUCAACAUACUUCUUUGUUCUCUUCUUUGCAUUCUUCUCCUUUUACACCAUUUUCUGUAAUAAAUUGAACAAAUUUGUCUCUUCUGCAUGAUCUAUGCCGAUGUUUGCAGGUGGUACUGAUGAUGGCAUCGUAGCCAUGUGUGAAGUUGGUCAACAUACUUCUUUGUUCUCUUCUUUGCAUUCUUCUUCUUUUACACCAUUUUCUACAAUAAAUUGAACAAAUUUGCCUCUUUUGCAUCUAUGCCGAUGUUCACCCUUUUUUUCGGAAAUUACCUUCUUAUUCUUCUUCUAUCUUCAUCUUCUUCGUUAUUUUAUGUUUUGGCAGAUUAUUAGGGGUCAGUAACACGAUUAUUAGGAGUGAGUAACAAGAUUAUUAGGGGUCAAUAAUUGAUUACUAGGGUCAGUAACCGAUUAUUGGGGGUUAGUAACAUGAUUAUUAAUGGUCAGUAACCGAUUACUAUGAGUCAGUAACCAAUUAUUGGGGAUCAGUAACCGAGUUACCGGUGACUGAAAUCCGGCGACCGAAGAAAUUCCGGCAACCGAUGACUAAGAAGAGUAAAGAUAACAAAGUUGUUUAAGCUGAAGCAAGUUAUACCAAUCGACUUUCCCACCGAUUCCAAAGCAUUUCUUCCGGCCUCUUGAUCUAUGCUAUUACCAACUGUAGUUGUACAUAUCUCAGAUAAUAACAAAUCCUAAUCAGAAUAGUAUUGUAUCAUUUUUUUCUGUUUUAAUUAAAGAAACAGAGAGAACUUUGGCGUACAAACAUCAAAAGUGUCAGUAACGUUGUUUUGAGAAUUUUGCUUAAUCCUCAAGAAGCAGCCUCAUGUCCAUUGAUUUCAUCUCUCCUCUUCCUUCCUACCCUAGUCGUCAACGAUCAAAUUCAGAAUUCAUACCUCAAAUCCAAAAUUUAAAUUUGUAAAAGUAUAUCAGAAAUCAUCUCUCAUCUUCACAUGAAGUCAUGCAGGGAAAGGGAACACAAAAACAAAUAGAGACAAUUGGUCAAGGCAGUGGCUAAUUUUUUCAACCAAAAAUAAACCAAUAAUUCAAACAGUCCUAAUUUUAUCUAUAAUCCAGCCAAAUCCAAAACAAGUGAUUAAGCCUCCCUCUGAACAACACCAAGCGCCUAAUUAUGUUGUGUAAGUACAUUCCUCUUAAAUACUGCUCCAGCACAGACUAGAACUAUAAGAUCAAAACCACACUUUGUCUAAGAAAUAAAAUUCAGAACUACUCCUCCUUUUUCAAGCUUAAUAACUUAACUCUAAAAGCGAAAAAGUACAAAUUUGUAACUUGCUUACAAUCUAUGAAUCUAUAUUAAUUGUUUAGAUAGAGCAAUGUAGAUAAGUAAAAGGAUCAUACCAUUUGAUGAGCCAGUCAAAUAGGAAAUGUUGCAUAAUAGGCACCUUCUCCAACACCUCAACCUUAUACAUCUUGAGCAUCCCACUAUUAACUUUAUGUCAAUUCGGCACUCCACUGAUAUCAUCCAACAACGGCGAGUGCUCCGAAAACGGCCCCUUCUUCAUCUUCUUCAUGAAAGCCACCGCCGAAAGAUACAUAUACUCCUUCGAAAAGUUCUCUAAUAUAUCAUCAUUAUGAAUGGACUUAGGCUUCAUGUACUUGUGAUUAAUCAACUGCGACGAGCCAAAAAUAAACGGCAGGAAAUGAUAGUUGUCAAGGCCCCCAAACGAUAUGGGAAAAAUGUCACUGAACAAUUCAGGCUUCUCAUGAAUCAACCUACGAACAUUAGAUUAACUUUAAAUGUAAGCACACACAUCAUAUCAUGCAAAUAAUACUCAGAAUUCAAAGGCAAAGAGCCCUUAGCAACAAUAUUAGUCAUUUCUCCACUAGGCAACACUACGGGAGGCAAUGAACAAUUUUUAUCCCCGUGUAAUAGUGAACUUUGAGAUGAAGAGAUGUGGUCUAGGAAAGUAGCGUGAUGGAUUAUAUUACCUGGCGGCAUUAGCGACAAAGAAAACCUUAACCAAUUCUCAUUCAUCCUCAAACCAUCAAUCAGUCUGCAACCUCACAAGCUCAUCCAACCCAUCCACUGAUCUCUGACAUAGCCGUUUAGGUCAUGUUUCUCAUGCUCCUUUAAAACUCAUUGCUAAGAAAUUUUUAAAUCUUUCAAUUCAGCCUAUUGAUGUGUGUCCUAUUUGUCCCUUGGCAAAGCAACAUCGCUUGCCUUUUGGUGUGAGUUCAAUUUCAUCUGAAAAACCAUUUGAUUUAAUUCAUUAUGAUAUUUGGGGUCGUUAUAAACAUGCUUCCCUUUUUGGGGCUCAUUAUUUUUUUACUAUGGUCGAUGAUUACACAAGAUUCACUUGGAUUUUUUUGAUGAAAUUCAAAGAUGAAGCCCAACCAAUUUUAAAAUGAUUUUUCAGCUAUGUUUUCACCCAAUUCACAUCUCGCAUAAAAGCUUUUCGCAGUGACAACGGUGGCGAGUUUCUUUCACUUCGAUUUUUUUUUAAUGACAAUGGUGUAGUUUUUCAACACUCGUGCGUAUACACACCUCAACAAAAUGGGGUUGUGGAACGUAAAAAUGGUCAUAUUUUACAAGUGGCCCACGUUUUAAAAUUUCAUGCUCAUCUCCCUACCUAAUUUUGGGGGAGUGUGCUCUUCCUGCGGUACACAUCAUCAAUCGAUUGCCUACACCUGUCCUUUCUUUCAAAACUUUGUUUGAGUGUUUAUACUCAAAACCACCUCCAUACCAUUAUUUUCGUGUGUUUGGUUGUUUGGCCUAUGCUACCAAUGUUCAUCUUUCACACAAAUUUGAUUAUCGUGUUAUGGCAUGUAUUUUCAUAGGUUAUCAUAUUGGCCAAAAGGCCUGCAAAUUGUAUAAUCUGUCAACGAAAAAAAAUUUCACAAGCAAAGAUGUUUUCUUUCAUGAAAAUAUUUUUGGGAAAAUACCCAUUUAGUACUAAUUGUAACCCUUCAUUACUCAUUCCAAUGACAAUCUUUUAAAUAAGCCCGUUUGAAUGAAAAUAAAUUUUUUUUUAUGCCCAAAUGGUCAAAUUUUUACUAAAGUCUUAACAAACUAUAUAAUUUUAAGACUAUUUUGCCCCUACCUCUUCAACAUGAAAAACUUGGCCGGAACCUCAAACUCCGGUCACCGGCCGCUGAACUCCGGUCACCGGAAUUUCCCCGACCGCCGGACUCCGGUCACCAGAAUUUCCCCGACCGCUGAACUCCGGUCACCAGAAUUUCCCCGACCGCCGGACUCCGGUCACCAGAAUUUCCCCAAUAACCAGUUACUAACCCCCAAUAACCAGUUACUGACCCCCAAUAACUAGUUACUGACCAGUUACAAACCCCCAGUAACUGAGUUACUUUAGUCACCGGCCACCGGAACUGAGUUACUGACCCCCAAUAACUGAGUAAUGAUUCCUUAAAAGGCUAUUGACCCUGGGUAACUCAAUUACUGACCCCUAGUAACUCGAGUUACUAACCCCCAGUAAUCGAUUACUACAUCUAUGAAAACGACAAAGUACGCACUUAUUUGCCAUGCUUCCCCACAAAGAUCUAACUCUCCAUGAAUCUAUACCUCAAAUAGAAGUCCACGUCCACCUUGCAGAUUAGUAGCUCCAGCAAGCCCAAACACACCAAUAGACUUCAUCUUUUAACAAUGGAAGUCCACAGUUUUCACAUUCAUUCAAGCAAUACAGAAAAGAGAAUCGGUGUGGGACAAAAUCCAAACUCACAAGCCUCCCCUCCGAUUUCACAUUCACCAUCACCAAUUUACCUUCACCAAUUCACUUGAACGGUGAUGGAUGUCGCCGACGAGAGAGAGAAAAAGAGAGACCUGAGGGAAAGUAGGAACGAGAUCAAGCUCCUUAUUGACCCUUGGAAACCUUCUCAGCAGCCAGGGAGCUCUGCAAACCCUAAUCGUGAUUGAGAACUGAUCGGACGGGCAUGAACAUCAGGCGGCACCGAUGAGCACAAGCUAGAGGCGGAUGGCGAGCGGCACAGCAUUUUGGAUCUGCUGCCGGGGUCGGAUGAGGGGGCUCGGAGAAGGAGGACGUUGACGAGCGGUGUUGAUUUCCUGCAGCGGUGGAGGAGGUUGCAGAGGAGAAGGCAGCGUNNNNNNNNNNNNNNNNNNNNAGAGAGAGAGAGAGAGAGAGAGANAGAGAGAGAGAGAGAGAGAGGAAAGUUUCAGAUCAAAGGAGACAGAGGUGAAUGAGGGUCAGGAUAUAAAAGUCUUUUCCUUAAUAAUCAUUGGAAUGGGCUUAUGAAAAAAGUUUUCAUUGGAAUAGGCUUUAGAAACCAUAUUUUUGUGUAUUUGGGCAUUUUCUCAAUAUUUUUCCAUAUGCAUCUGAGAAGCCCAACUCUUCUGUCCCUUUGGCCCAUUCCCACGGGCCAAUCAAUCUUCCGAUACAUGACCCAUAUAAAAUCUCAAUUCAUUUAGUAUUCUACGUACUACAACUAAUUAAUAACAAAUUAAUUAACACAUAUAUAUACUUAAUAAUUACAUAACAAUAUUAUAUAUCAACAUCAUCACAAAAUCAUCAUCAACUCAUAUCAUCAACAACUUCAUACCAUCAACACAAUAUUAUAAUUUAAUUAACAUAUAUAUAUAUAUAUAUCUACUACUUAUUAACAACAACUUCAUAUAUAUUGACACGACCCACCCCAAAUUUCACCCUGAAACCCAGAGUAAGUCGUGCGGGGACCACCUCUAAGGAAAAUUUACCAAAAAAUCGGCAUAACCUCCCUUGAAAAUGGACAACCCUUCUUAAUAAUACCUGCAAACACUUCUGAAAAUUUAAAUCCAACCUUAAACUCCUAGAGCCUCCGUCCUCCCCAAAUCACAACACCACCCAAAUUAUUUACUAAUCUAAACAAAUCUCAUAUCCAACCAUUUAUAGGUUCAGAGCAACUCUAACAGGAAGAAAGGAAACAUAAUAAAUUAACAAGCGGAAGCUAUAUGAUGACUAUGCCUCAUCCCCAUGUAAGUCCAACCUCAACUAUGCAAUCCUGCAAACUGGGCAUUUUUAAAACGAAGAGCCAAGGGGAAAACAUUUGAAACACGUUAGAGUGAGUGGACAAAAAUAAAUUAACGAAUAAAAUAUUUAUGUUUCCCCAAAUCAAUUUCCAAGGAAAAUCGAAUGCAUACUGCAAGCGAUAAAACUUUUAUCUCAAAAAUGUCGAGCCUCUCAGGCUCUAUAAUAUAUGUAUGUAUUUACACACGUCCAUACUCCCUAUAUAAAUUCAUGGGUCUAUAUAGGGCUACUACGCUCGCGUCCAACGCUCACGUCACGCCUUAAUGCGGUGCUACACUACGCCAUCAAGGUGGACAGACGGGUGUAUAAAUAUGUGCCCAUACCCCCUAUAUGAAUUAAACACUCAUAUAGGGCUACUACGCUUACGUCCAACGCUCACGUCACACCAUAAUGCGGUCUAUAUGCUACGCCAUUAAGGUGGACAGACACAUAUGGCUAGCUAGCUUUUAUAUACAUACUCUCUUAUAAAUCAUAUUUAUAUUCACCGAAAAUCCCAUUUUCGGUAACUCUCUCAGAGAAAUAAAAGCGUCAAAAUUAAUUGACGUCAAAAACUCCAACAAAAGGAAAUGUUCAAUCAUGAACCAUAGCAUGCAUAUUAUUUCAAAUAAAAGUCCACUCACAAAUUAGGCCUAAGCCCGACGAUAACCGCAUCGCCGCUC